RNAcentral lists this transfer RNA (72 nucleotides) under Gekko gecko (tokay). Its description in RNAcentral is "tRNA-Trp". It matches the Rfam family "tRNA". Rfam says of the family: Transfer RNA (tRNA) molecules are approximately 80 nucleotides in length. Their secondary structure includes four short double-helical elements and three loops (D, anti-codon, and T loops). The record is from RNAcentral. Lineage: Eukaryota; Metazoa; Chordata; Lepidosauria; Squamata; Gekkonidae.
AGAAAUUUAGGUUAACUAGUAAUAAACCAAAGGCCUUCAAAGCCUUAAACGGGGCCCAAGACCCAAUUUCUG